Molecule: ribosomal RNA, 301 nt
Filed under: uncultured bacterium
Lineage: Bacteria
Description: partial 16S ribosomal RNA
Rfam family: Bacterial small subunit ribosomal RNA
Source: RNAcentral
CAGUAGCCGCGGUAAUACGAAGGGUGCAAGCGUUAAUCGGAAUUACUGGGCGUAAAGCGCACGCAGGCGGUUUGUUAAGUCAGAUGUGAAAUCCCCGAGCUUAACUUGGGAACUGCAUUUGAAACUGGCAAGCUAGAGUCUUGUAGAGGGGGGUAGAAUUCCAGGUGUAGCGGUGAAAUGCGUAGAGAUCUGGAGGAAUACCGGUGGCGAAGGCGGCCCCCUGGACAAAGACUGACGCUCAGGUGCGAAAGCGUGGGGAGCAAACAGGAUUAGAGACCCGGGUAGUCCCUGUCUCUUAUAA